AGCUCCAAUAGCGUAUAUUAAAGUUGUUGUGGUUAAAGAGCUCGUAGUUGGAUCUCAACAGCCUUGAAGCGGUUAACUUUGUAGUUUUACUGCUUUGUAGGCUGUGCUUUUGCUGGAGGUUUAGGGGUGCUCUUGAUCGAGUGUCUCUGGAUGCCAGCAGGUUUACUUUGAAAAAAUUAGAGUGCUCAAAGCAGGCUAAAAUGCCUGAAUAUUCGUGCAUGGAAUAAUAGAUUUGGAUGUCUUUCCCGUGUGCGUUCUGUUCUACUCUCUACAUCUUGAUUUUUAGUUUCAGUCUUGGGCCUUUGUCUUCAAACGUCCUAGGUGAAAUUCUUGGACCGUUUGAAGACAAACUACUGCGAAAGCAUUUGCCAAGAAUGUUUUCA
This 383-nucleotide ribosomal RNA is filed under the name marine copepod environmental sample. RNAcentral describes it as "SSU rRNA". It matches the Rfam family "Eukaryotic small subunit ribosomal RNA", at positions 587 to 972 of the family's 1831-position model. Lineage: Eukaryota; Metazoa; Arthropoda; Copepoda. The record is from RNAcentral.